RNAcentral lists this ribosomal RNA (460 nucleotides) under uncultured bacterium. RNAcentral's name for it is "partial 16S ribosomal RNA". It matches the Rfam family "Bacterial small subunit ribosomal RNA", at positions 338 to 795 of the family's 1533-position model. The record is from RNAcentral.
CCUACGGGAGGCAGCAGUGAGGAAUAUUGGUCAAUGGACGAGAGUCUGAACCAGCCAAGUAGCGUGAAGGAUGACUGCCCUAUGGGUUGUAAACUUCUUUUAUAUGGGAAUAAAACGUUCCACGUGUGGGAUUUUGUAUGUACCAUAUGAAUAAGGAUCGGCUAACUCCGUGCCAGCAGCCGCGGUAAUACGGAGGCUCCGAGCGUUAUCCGGAUUUAUUGGGUUUAAAGGGAGCGUAGGUGGAUUGUUAAGUCAGUUGUGAAAGUUUGCGGCUCAACCGUAAAAUUGCAGUUGAAACUGGCAGUCUUGAGUACAGUAGAGGUGGGCGGAAUUCGUGGUGUAGCGGUGAAAUGCUGAGAUAUCACGAAGAACUCCGAUUGCGAAGGCAGUUCACUGGACUGCAACUGACACUGAGGCUCGAAAGUGUGGGUAUCAAACAGGAUUAGAUACCCCUGUAGUC